Molecule: ribosomal RNA, 420 nt
Filed under: uncultured bacterium
Lineage: Bacteria
Description: bacterial SSU rRNA
Rfam family: Bacterial small subunit ribosomal RNA
Source: RNAcentral
UGAGGAAUAUUGGUCAAUGGGCGAGAGCCUGAACCAGCCAUGCCGCGUGCAGGAUGACGGCUCUAUGAGUUGUAAACUGCUUUUAUACGAGAAUAGGGUAGAUACGUGUAUUUAUUUGAAUGUAUCGUAUGAAUAAGGAUCGGCUAACUCCGUGCCAGCAGCCGCGGUAAUACGGAGGAUUCGAGCGUUAUCCGGAAUUACUGGGUGUAAAGGGAGCGUAGGCGGGGUUUCAAGUUGGGUGUUAAAUCUAUCGGCUCAACCGAUAGUCGCACUCAAAACUGGGACUCUUGAGUGAAGUAGAGGCAGGCGGAAUUCCUAGUGUAGCGGUGAAAUGCGUAGAUAUUAGGAGGAACACCAGUGGCGAAGGCGGCUUACUAGACGAUCACUGACGUUGAGGCUCGAAAGCGUGGGGAGCAAACA